This 3440-nucleotide long non-coding RNA is filed under the name Nicotiana tabacum (common tobacco). RNAcentral describes it as "long non-coding RNA (NTAB_LNC000119)". Lineage: Eukaryota; Viridiplantae; Streptophyta; Magnoliopsida; Solanales; Solanaceae. The record is from RNAcentral.
GAAAUUUCCGAUCGAAUUUGGUCAGAAAUUAUGAAUUUCUGGGCAAAAAAAAAAGAGAGAUUCCCAGUUGGUUUUCAAUAACAAAAUACUACCAUCUAGAGCUUAAAACAACCAAAACAGUCCUAAAAAAUAUCAUCCAUGAUCAUAUCAUUCUAAAAAAUUAGUACUAUAUUUGAGAUAAUAUCUCAUUACAAACUCCAUAAAUUAAAAUACAUAAAUAAAAUAAAAUCUAUCUGAAAUGAAAGUCUAAUUGGAAUACAAGAAUAAUUGUAACGUAGUCACUUUGUCUAAUAAAUUUACCCCUGAAGAAUUUGCACAUUCAUGUACCUGUGAAACAAGAGUCAUAAUUUUAGUCAUACUUUUUAAUAUCACGAUUCAGGAAAAAAUUAAACAUUAAUCAUAAAAUAUAUAUUAAUUAGUGAAGCAAACAAUAGAAUAAGAAAUAAGUACUGGUGUAUAAACUACUUAGUCAAAUUUUACUUGUGAGUGUAAUUUUAAAUCAGUGGAUUAAUACAAAACGGAAAUUACUUUUAGAUUAGCUAAACCAUUAAUAGGUUCAUAUAGUAAGUACAUAACAACUACACUCGUUCAAUUUUCUGGCUAAUGUUGCCUAAUACACUGAUCCAGUUAAAAGAAAAAUCAAAUCCAUCAGUUAAAGGUGCAUUAGAAGACACUGAUCCAUGCAGUAACAUAAUGUUAUGUUUAUGUUACUGCCACACUUACCAAAAUGCAGAUAUCAUGUUCAUGUGCUAAUCGUUUUAGUAAAAAUGAUGUCCUGUUUCACGCAAAAAGAACAAGCCCUUUAGUUGUUACUUCAGCUGUUGUAAAAGGUCUAUAUGUGUACUAUUUUUAUUAACAUAUCGUAUUGCAAAACCUAAGGACUUUGGCUAAAGAAAGGAAACAUAUACACCACUAGAUAAACAUAUUAGUUUGACGAUGAGAAAAACCUAGUUCAUACCCUUUGAAGAGAGAACGUUACAUACUGAUUUCUGAUUUCGAGCAAAAUGUUUCCAUUCUGUCAAACAUUACUUUCUGAUUUCUUCUGAUAUUUGGACGAAAACCUGGAAGUGGUGCAAUCAAGUAAACUUUAUUAUGCCGAGGAAUUUGGUAGAGAAAAAGAAAAUUAACAGAGCCAUGCCUCAGACUUACUACCAUCAAUGACUAUACUUUGCUGAUAAACCAUAGUCGAGCAUUGGGCGAUAAAAACGACUAUGCUUUGCUGAUAAACCAUAGUCGAGGUAUUUGCCAAUUCGAUAGAGAAUAUCAGCACAACUUUAAUUUCACCAACUGAGCUAAGAGCUAUAAUAGCUUACAUAGUUUCAACGACAUCAUUAUAUGUUUGUUCUGUUUCCGAACCUUACUAAUCUCUGAUGCAAAUUCAUGCUGAUUUUCAAGUUCCAAGCUGCUACAUGAGGUUGACUCAAAAAAAAGGAGAGGAAAAUAACACAACCAGAUAAAAUGAAAUUGGAAGGUGAUAAUUUAAUAUACAUUCAACUAUGCUCAGGAAAUUCGGAGAAUGAGAGCAUUCAUCAGUAUUACCUACAUGCAUGCCAUUGCUUUACCUAGCUUAGAAACAAAACAAAGCAGUGAAAGGGGGAUUUGCACCGUCACAUCAACAAGCACUCAACAAGUUAACAUGAGUUGAAGCAAGACUUGAAUGUCUAGCUUCAUACUACACAGAAAACUAAAAGGAAAAAAAUCACACUUCACUAAUGCUCUACUCAAGGGGAAAAAAAAUAAUUUAAUUCACAUAUCUAAACGUUUAGAAUGUAUGGCCUGAGAAUAAGAAAUAUAUAAGAGAAAAGUAGAUACAUAUAUUUUGCUUUACAAGCUUGAUGUAGUCUUCUUAAAAUUAAGGAAUAGGAAAAAAAGUACAUGAUUGUGAAAUAGAGAUUGCAUGUUUCUGACCAUUCAUGCUCUUCCUCACGAUUCCACGAAUUUACUUGAGUUUAAAAACAAUGAACAAAUCACAAAGAGCCAAGAGGGAAAACUACAAGAACUCUAACAGCAGGAAACAUAGUGAAUAAAGCAUGCUAUGCUACUCAGAAAAAGGAAAAAUCAGAGAAAAUAUUAGCAACCUAAGAAUGCAUAAAACUAGUGAAAAGCCAACUGCCCAAAGUACUAUAGGCUAUGGAUAAGGCCAAUAAGGACCAAGAAAGAAGCAGUGUUCUUCAGACCCCCAGAAAAAUUACAAGGAAAAGGAAAGCACAGACAAUGAAAUAUGUAAGAAUAUAAUUUUUUUUGCACAUCAAAACUGACAGAAAUAUUGUUAAUACUUUAAAGAGUAAAGCACUCCUAACUCCUAAAUAACUCAAAGUCUCAACUCAUAAACCAUGGAAUAUACUACUGAGGUUUUCUUUAUUUUUCUAAAAAAUAUAAUAAUCAAGAAAGGCCCAAGACUUUUCAAGAUUACAGCAGACAUACCUCUCUAGGCACGAUUGUCUUGGGAAUAACUCUGCAGGCUGACAAUAACAUGACAAACCUUAUGAAUGAUGAUACAAGGCAAAAAAGAAAACCAACUUAUUUUUCAAGAAAAUCAGAUGUCAAUAAGCCAAUGUUGCCUUGCCCUUGUCUAGUAAAUUUGACUAAAGAAAAGAAGGCCUAGAUAAGAAACAAUUCUAGGUUCUCAUGCUAAUUCAAAUGGACACAUCAUAGCAAGAACUAGUUGCUGGUGCAUACCAACCUAUAUUGAUAAAAAUAUCCCAAGAUCAGUUAAUUAGAGCACAAUAUCAACCCAAUACCCAACAACCAUCAAGCACACAGACCAAGCAAACAUGAAAUUUAGAGUGAGAAGAAGUCAUCAAUCGUGCAAUAAAGCUACUAAGUUUAGCAUCCCAUGGAGAGAAGAGCAAUAAAUAUUGAAAAUGGCAAAUUAAUAAUUUCUUUAUGUUUACUGACCAUCCCAACCUCAUGACAUUCACUAUUGUAAGAUCAAUUAAAUACAAGUAACUACAUGUUCCCGUCCAUCAUGGUUGCAAUUUUGAGACCUCUCAGAAAUAGAGAGACAAUUAUCCAUUCCUAUUUACACAAAACAUAUUACAAGAAAGCCACCUGUAUUUCGUGUAAGUUGUUCGUCCAAGUAUAAAAAUAAAAAUCAAACCAGAUUGAGCCCAAGUGACAUUUCGUAUUUUACAAAAAUAAUUGAAUAAAAAAAUAUUAGGGUUUCCGAUGGAAGUGAUACGCAUAGAAGAAACUACAGGGAGAGAAGAAAGGUGCUUACCACUCGAUUUCUCAGCCGAGUUCGCCGGAGAAGGAGAUUAAGAGGAGCAGCAGCCGGAGCGCGGCAUCAACUCGCCAAAGAAGACGACCGAGGUGAUUGUAGAGGUGAUUGUUUUGAGGUGCGCCGCUGCUCUGCUGAAGAAGAAGAAGAAGAAGAAGAAGGAAUAUGGGUGCUAGGGUUUUUUUUAAUUUUGGGGGGUGUUUUGAUUUAUGAGAUAAUU